This is a long non-coding RNA of Varroa destructor (honeybee mite), 699 nucleotides long. The record is from RefSeq and is a predicted model, not a curated record. NCBI's taxonomy places the organism in Eukaryota, Metazoa, Arthropoda, Arachnida, Mesostigmata, Varroidae.
UGUAUGUAAAUCGACACCGCGAAAACCAAAGACGAGUCACGGAGCAACGGUCGGUGCCGUCGACCGUCCGAGACAUUCAGCGAACGGCACCAAUUACAUCAACGCGAUCGUGACGAGAUCAUAGUAGUCAACCGAAGAAUAGUACAAGAAGAAGUCGUGAAAUUGCGUGUGUUUAACAUAAUUAAAAGGAAAAAUCAUCUGCUGUAAUUCGCCUCUCUCACGAUGCUGUUUCGACUUGUCUAAUCGUGUUUGGAAACUAUUUCCUUGAUAGCGCAGUGGUAACGUGCUUGUCGCUUAACUUAAGGCGUACGAUCCGGUUAUGGAUACGCUUUGUCUCAUGCUGGAAAGAGCCAGCAAUUUGAAGCGAUGUCUAGCUGCUCAACAUCUAGACGUAGAGUUCGAACUUUUUAUAUUUGAGAAUGCCGCCGUUGAUCAACUUCUAUUGAUCAUACCUUCUCAUUUAUUUAUCAAAAUCCCUCACAAUAUGUAUGCUUUAUCUACUAUCCAUUAAACGGAUCUAAUUUAUUUAAUCCUUUAUUAACACGCUUGUUUUGAUCAGGAAUUUCUAUUUCAUAACAUAGAAACCUUACUUCAACUAUAGCAGCGGUAGCGGCAUUCGCGUCAUUUACUUUAUCGACUAAAACAGUUACAUGUUCUUCUAUAAAUAAAGAAUUGACAGCCUGACCAAUGAUUGAGUCA